Molecule: ribosomal RNA, 478 nt
Filed under: uncultured bacterium
Lineage: Bacteria
Description: partial 16S ribosomal RNA
Rfam family: Bacterial small subunit ribosomal RNA
Source: RNAcentral
GAUGAACGCUGGCGGCGUGCUUAACACAUGCAAGUCGAACGGGAAACCUUUUAUUGAAGCUUCGGCAGAUUUAGCUGGUUUCUAGUGGCGGACGGGUGAGUAACGCGUGGGUACCCUGCCUUAUACAGGGGGAUAACAACCAGAAAUGGUUGCUAAUACCGCAUAAGCGCACAGGACCGCAUGGUCCGGUGGGUAAAACUCCGGUGGUGUAAGAUGGACCCGCGUUGGAUUAGCUAGUUGGCGGGGUAACGGCCUACCAAGGCGACGAUCCAUAGCCGGACAGAGAGGGUGAACGGCCACAUUGGGACUGAGGCAAGGCCCAGGCUCCGACGGGAGGAAGCAGUGGGGAAUAUUGCACAAUGGGGGAAACCCUGAUGCAGCGACGCCGCGUGAAGGAAGAAGUAUCUCGGUAUGUAAACUUCUAUCAGCAGGGAAGAUAGUGACGGUACCUGACGAAGAAGCCCCGGCUAACUACGUG